This is a long non-coding RNA of Alosa sapidissima (American shad), 112 nucleotides long. RefSeq lists it as uncharacterized. The record is from RefSeq and is a predicted model, not a curated record. NCBI's taxonomy places the organism in Eukaryota, Metazoa, Chordata, Actinopteri, Clupeiformes, Clupeidae. The transcript is spliced from 3 exons.
AACACUCACAAAACCCUGAGGCAAGGUAGUGGGCCACAGGUGGGCCGGUCAAAUUUUGCUAUCUGGGUAGGCUCUUCCUUAUGGCCUUGCUGCCAUGGUGUGGAAGAAUGGC